Molecule: non-coding RNA, 1553 nt
Organism: Pelobates cultripes (western spadefoot toad)
Lineage: Eukaryota; Metazoa; Chordata; Amphibia; Anura; Pelobatidae
Source: the annotation of a GenBank genome assembly
CACCGCUAUUCGGCCUUGCCAAGAGAUGUGGUCGUACGACCAUCUCGACAGGUCCGUCAGUAUAGUGCGUAAGAGGGGUGUAACUGUACUUAUUUCUUGUCUCUUGUAAUAAGCUAUGUUACCAUCAUAACUCUAGGAAGGGGGGUGUAUUGACUCAGUUGGGAAUUGUGGAGUAUUAACCAGGGAAUUGAAAAUUUGGGGCAUGACUAGGGGUGUGAAUUUGAAAAGUUCAUCUCUGGCCUACAAUUUGCAUGUUCCUUGUUCAUUAUGCAGUUACAACCUUAGUCAUAGGGACACUCCGGACCAUAAAGCAGUUUAUCUUGCUGAAAUUCUUUGUGUGAAGAGUGUUGUGGCAGUAUACCACAAGUAACCAGGUUGCCACCGUCAAGGUAGUCCUUACCCUUGUGUUUAUAACCUCAAAGUGAUUAAGCUCUCUUCUGCAAUGUGUAUAGCUAGCUCACCCAAGCACUAGUCGAAACUUAGUAGUGAUUUAUUGGGAAAAUGUCACAUUUCAUACCUGCUGACUCAACAGGAGGUCUCCAGGGAAAACAACACAAUUGCAACAUCACUGCCGCCUUGGUGUCUGAACCUGAGUAGAUCAUUUAAUUAGCGGCCACACACCUUGGCACCAGGACACAAAAUACAAUAUAACGUUAGUUCCCGUGUCCACAUCCCCACACAACCGGUGUCCCCAGCUUGGUUUAGAGCGCCCACGUAGUCCAAAAAGUGACCAGAUCGGAGGUGGCUAGUCCAAGUUAGGUUGAAGUCCAAAUUUUCAGCGUGUUGCGGCUAGCCUCCAAUCUGACGUUGGGUUUCAUGACGAUGAGUAGAGUUUCCCAGUCACCUUAAAGGACAGCGCUUUCAGUGAGUACACAGUCUAAGUCAUUGGUGUCAUUUGAUUCCUCGCCACCUGCUCUAUCAUCCCUCCAAAAAGCGUCACCAUUGCUAGUCCUGGGCCAUCAGUGACAUUCUAGGGGGAUCACGGCAACGCCGUGAUUCAAUCCAGAUUUUAGAGUUUUAGUGCUGCUCCCAGUCAGGCGUUCUGGACCCCUGGCCGAUGUGGGGAGACUCUAGGAAGGGGCUGUAUUGGCAUUUAAUGGUGAUUAAUGUCUUUUAUGAGUGGGGUGACAGAUGGGGAGACUUGUACCCAUCCUAAGUGCCAAAGUGGUCCAUCACAAGUGUGCCCUCUUUUUAUUCAUUUUACAAAAAGUGCAGAAUAGAAAUUGGCACUUUUAUAAAUCGACCUUGCCUCAUCCCCCUGGCUGUCAAUCAGACAAGAGGUCCUGUUACUUCCUAGUUUGUUUGGCUCAGUGGAACUAAACUCAAAAAGCAGCAAUUGCCCAGUGCUCCUGCCUCCAUUGCCUACAUUGGGGAGUUUGUGAUUGGACAGCUACAGAAAGUCUGGGCAGGGAAAACAAGCUGUGAUUUUUAUUUCUUUUUGUUUGAGCAGUGGAGUGUCCCUUUAAUAACCAUGUGCCAUUCCCAGAAUCCUCACCUGUCCAGUUAGGAGGCUAAUGAUCUCCAGGGUAAGAUUGAAGACCUUUGUAGUCACC